GGUUUUCCAGUUUGUUUCUUCAUCUCUUCCAGACAUCUGUUACCGUUGUGGUGAGUCUGGUCAUCUUGCCAAGGAUCGUGAUCUUCAGGAGAUGCCUGCUAUAACUGCGGUAGAGGUGGCCACAUUGCCAAGGACUGCAAGGAACCGAAGCGAGAGAGAGAGCAAUGCUGCUACAACUGUGGCAACCUGGCCACUUGGCUCGUGACUGCGACCACGCAGAUGAGCAGAAGUGCUAUUCAUGUGGAGAGUUUGGGCACAUUCAGAAAGAUUGCCCCAAAGUGAAAUGCUAUAGGUGGUAGGUCAAGAACUCCACUCCUGCCCCAAAGAAUUAAUGUGACCUUCAGCAACGAAAGGCUUCGAUGAUGGAAUUAACUUACUGACUGACGAAUUGGUUACAUCUAAGGCAAAUAAUACACCAAGACUCAUAGGUUUGUGCUUUCAGGAAUCCAACUCAGCAUUAGAAUUUACUCUGUUCUCUGAUCAGCAGAGUACUUCAAUUUGGCAUCUUUUCAAAGCAUAUUCACUUAAAGUUUAAAAAUAGAAGGGUUGGAUCAUAUAAUAAUUUGUGGAAAUAAUACUUGGCUUGGGGGGAAAAUCUUAAUUUUCAGGUGUGCUGGCAAUCUAAAUUAAAAUACCACAGAUAUGUCAUAAGGGCUUUUGUUUUGAAACUAAUGGGAAGCCAAAUGACCUCUAGUUUCAUAUUUUUGUCUGCCUCUUCUCCCUGUUGGGGGAUGAGGUAUGAAAUAUAUCUGGUUGCCUUUUCCUUUUGACUUCCUGGCUGCUUUGUAACUAUCCCAUAAGCCAUCCACUUUUACCAUUUACUACCCUGGUUCUAUCUGAUAGAGUUCCCUUCUUAGCUGAGUGCUUUGCAAAUGGCCCUUCCCUGGUAUUGCCUUGCCCACUCUAGUGGUUUUUCACAUUACAUUUAGGAUGUGUCUGUUCUGAAAAUUAUCUUUUCCAAGAUGAAACAAAAACCUGGUACACUUGGUUUGAGGAACUAAAGUCAUCCACAGACUUGAUUAAUGAAAAAUGAAACUUGUGAUGGUAAAUGUUAGCUUUCUGAUUACAAAAUGCUCCAGGAACUAAAGUUAUCCAAAGAAAUGAUUAAUGAAAAACGAAGCUUGUGAUGGUAAAUGUUAGCUUUCUGAUUACAAAAUGCUCCUGUGCUAAGGACUAAGUUUAUGGAUAGAAAUCAAAUUUAAAUUUAGCAUUUAAAAUUUUCUUUUAACAGUCAGAAUAUCCUUCUAUGUGUAUUAAGAGUACCUUGAGGGGCAGCUAGGUGGCGCAGUGGAUAGAGCACUGGCCCUGGAGUCAGGAGUACCUGAGU
Long non-coding RNA from Dromiciops gliroides (monito del monte), 1327 nucleotides. RefSeq lists it as uncharacterized. The transcript has 3 exons. Lineage: Eukaryota; Metazoa; Chordata; Mammalia; Microbiotheria; Microbiotheriidae. The record is from RefSeq and is a predicted model, not a curated record.